RNAcentral lists this ribosomal RNA (445 nucleotides) under uncultured bacterium. RNAcentral's name for it is "partial 16S ribosomal RNA". It matches the Rfam family "Bacterial small subunit ribosomal RNA", at positions 354 to 796 of the family's 1533-position model. The record is from RNAcentral.
GUGAGGAAUAUUGGACAAUGGAUGGAAAUCUGAUCCAGCCAUGCCGCGUGCAGGAAGACGGCCCUAUGGGUUGUAAACUGCUUUUAUACGGGAGCAAUAAGGUCUAUGCAUAGAUUGAUGAGAGUACCGUAUGAAUAAGCAUCGGCUAACUCCGUGCCAGCAGCCGCGGUAAUACGGAGGAUGCGAGCGUUAUCCGGAUUUAUUGGGUUCAAAGGGUGCGUAGGCGGCUUUGUAAGUCAGCGGUGAAAUUUUGCAGCUUAACUGUAAGAGCGCCGUUGAUACUGUGAAGCUAGGAUUUGGUUGCUGUGGGCGGAAUGUGUGGUGUAGCGGUGAAAUGCAUAGAGAUCACACAGAAUAUCGAUUGCGAAGGCAGCUCACAAAGCCAAUAUUGACGCUGAGGCACGAAAGUGUGGGGAUCAAACAGGAUUAGAUACCCUGGUAGUCC